AAAGAUCGCAGCCUUCGGCAGCUCCUACACGGGAUUUAUGUUCACCCUGUAGGAGCUGCCGAAGGCUGCGAUCUUU
Molecule: unclassified non-coding RNA, 76 nt
Filed under: Pseudomonas koreensis
Lineage: Bacteria; Pseudomonadati; Pseudomonadota; Gammaproteobacteria; Pseudomonadales; Pseudomonadaceae
Source: RNAcentral